Molecule: ribosomal RNA, 483 nt
Filed under: uncultured bacterium
Lineage: Bacteria
Description: partial 16S ribosomal RNA
Rfam family: Bacterial small subunit ribosomal RNA
Source: RNAcentral
AUUGAACGCUGGCGGCAUGCUUUACACAUGCAAGUCGAACGGCAGCGCGGGCUUCGGCCUGGCGGCGAGUGGCGAACGGGUGAGUAAUGCAUCGGAACGUGCCCAGUAGUGGGGGAUAGCCCGGCGAAAGCCGGAUUAAUACCGCAUACGACCUGAGGGUGAAAGCGGGGGACCGAAAGGCCUCGCGCUAUUGGAGCGGCCGAUGUCGGAUAGCUAGUUGGUGGGGUAAAGGCUUACCAAGGCGACGAUCCGUAGCUGGUCUGAGAGGACGACCAGCCACACUGGGACUGAGACACGGCCCAGACUCCUACGGGAGGCAGCAGUGGGGAAUUUUGGACAAUGGGGGCAACCCUGAUCCAGCCAUGCCGCGUGCGGGAAGAAGGCCUUCGGGUUGUAAACCGCUUUUGUUCGGGAAGAAAUCCUCUGGGCUAAUACCCCGGGGGGAUGACGGUACCGGAAGAAUAAGCACCGGCUAACUACGUG